Molecule: ribosomal RNA, 496 nt
Filed under: uncultured bacterium
Lineage: Bacteria
Description: partial 16S ribosomal RNA
Rfam family: Bacterial small subunit ribosomal RNA
Source: RNAcentral
GAUGAACGCUGGCGGCGUGCCUAAUACAUGCAAGUCGAGCGAACGGACGAGAAGCUUGCUUUUCUGAUGUUAGCGGCGGACGGGUGAGUAACACGUGGAUAACCUACCUAUAAGACUGGGAUAACUUCGGGAAACCGGAGCUAAUACCGGAUAAUAUUUUGAACCGCAUGGUUCAAAAGUGAAAGACGGUCUUGCUGUCACUUAUAGAUGGAUCCGCGCUGCAUUAGCUAGUGGUAAGGUAACGGCUUACCAAGGCAACGAUGCAUAGCCGACCUGAGAGGGGGAUCGGCCACACGGGAACUGGGACACGGUCCAGACGCCUACGGGAGGCAGCAGUAGGGAAUCGUCCGCAAUGGGCGAAAGCCUGACGGAGCAACGCCGCGUGAGUGAUGAAGGUCUUCGGAUCGUAAAACUCUGUUAUUAGGGAAGAACAUAUGUGUAAGUAACUGUGCACAUCUUGACGGUACCUAAUCAGAAAGCCACGGCUAACUACGUG